AAAAAAAAUCUGAAUUAACUGGGUUAACCCGUCAAAUCUGGGAUUCAUGUCAUGAAAGUUUGAUAACUGAAUAGGAAAAAAAAAUUUACGGGUUAACCUAGAAUUAGCUGGGUUAACCCGUCAAACCCGGAAUCCGUGUCAUGAAAGUUUGAUAACUAAAUAGAAAAAAUUUAACAUUAACAAACUAAAUUAAACAAAAAAAAUUAAUUAAAAAGAAAAACCAGAAAAAAAUCUAGGUUAACCCGUCAAACCCGAAACCCGUGUCAUGAAAGUUUGAUAACUAAAUAGAAAAAAAAUUUAACAUUAACAAAAAAAAUUAAACAAAAAAAAUAUUCAUUAAAAAAACAAAAAAAAAAACAAAAAAAAAGCAAAAAAAGAAAAGAAAAAAAAUUGCUUUUAAAAAAACAAAGCAAAACGCAAAAAAGAAGAAGACAGCUCAGCGUUUCACUGUGGACUGCACUCGAAAAAAUUAAUUAAAAAGAAAAACCAGAAAAAAAAUCUGGGUUAACCCGUCAAACCCGAAACCUGUGUCAUGAAAGUUUGAUAACUAAAUAGAAAAAAAUUUAACAUUAACAAAAAAAAUUAAACAAAAAAAUAUUCAUUAAAAAAAAAGCUUAAAAAAAACAAAGAAAAAAGCAGAAAAGAAACAAAAAACAGCUUCUUUUUUUUAAAAAAAAGAGCGAAAACUGCUCAGCGUUUUACUAAAAAAACAAACAAAGAAAAGCCUAUAUGAAGAAAAAAACUAAUGAAAAAAAAGAAAAAAAAAUCUGAAUUAACUGGGUUAACCUGUCAAAUCUGAAAUUCGUGUCAUGAAAGUUUGAUAACUGAAAAGGAAAAAAAACAUUUACGGGUUAACCCAGAAUUAGCUGGGUUAACCCGUCAAACCCGGAAUCUGUGUCAUGAAAGUUUGAUAACUAAAUAGAAAAAAUUUAACAUUAACAAACUAAAUUAAACGAAAAAAUUAAUUAAAAAGAAAAACCAGAAAAAAAAUCCGGGUUAACCCCGUCAAACCCGGAACCCUUGUCAUGAAAGUUUGAUAACUAAAUAGAAAAAAAUUUAACAUUAACAAAAAAAAUUAAACAAAAAAAAAUAUUCAUUAAAAAAAAACAAAGAAAAAAAACUGCUUAAAAAAACAAAGAAAAAAGAAAAGAAAAGAAAAAGACAGCUCAGCGUUUCACUGUGGAUUGCACUCGAAAAAAUUAAUUAAAAAGAACCAAAAACAAAUCCGGGUUAACCCGUCAAACCCGGAACCUGUGUCAUGAAAGUUUGAUAACUAAAUAGAAAAAAAAUUUAACAUUAAAAAAAAUUAAACAAAAAAAUAUUCAUUAAAAAAAAUCUUAAAAAAAAACAAAGAAAAAGGCAAAAAAGAAAAAAAAAAAAGAGAAAACUGCUCAGCGUUUUACUAAAAAAACAAAGAAAGAAAAAGCCUACAUGAAGAAAAAAACUAAGGAAGAAAAAGAAAAAAAAUCUGAAUUAACUGGGUUAACUCGUCAAAUCUGGGAUUCGUGUCAUGAAAGUUUGAUAACUGAAUAGGAAAAAAAAAUUACGGGUUAACCUAGAAUUAGCUGGGUUAACCCGUCAAACCCGGAAUCCGUGUCAUGAAAGUUUGAUAACUAAAUAGAAAAAAUUUAACAUUAACAAACUAAAUUAAAUGAAAAAAUUAAUUAAAAAGAAAAACCAGAAAAAAAAUCCCGGUUAACCCGUCAAACUCGGAACCCAUGUCAUGAAAGUUUGAUAACUAAAUAGAAAAAAAUUUAACAUUAACAAAAAAAAA
This 1774-nucleotide long non-coding RNA is filed under the name Populus trichocarpa (black cottonwood). RNAcentral describes it as "long non-coding RNA (PTRI_LNC004190)". Lineage: Eukaryota; Viridiplantae; Streptophyta; Magnoliopsida; Malpighiales; Salicaceae. The record is from RNAcentral.